UGCGAUCCGGAGCGGGAGGCGACUGGAUCGCGAAGCAGCAGGGGAGACCAGAGGACGGGCGGAGCUGUCUCGGGGAUCACCGCACCAGGACGGGCGGAGGUGUCUCGGGGCCGGCUGCAGAUUCGAUUGGGGAAUCCGCUGGAUCAAGUUCGAGCGGAACGAGCGGCACACCAGAGGACGGGCGGAGCUGUCUCAGAGCGGAAGUUGACUCGAUCACGACGCAACAGCACGGGAGACCAGAGGACGGGCCGGCUGCAGUUUCGAUCGGGGAAUCCGCUGGAUCGAGUUCGAGCGGAACGAGCGGCCGACUGCAGGUUCAAUCGAGAAUCAGCUGGGAACGAGGCCGGCGGCUUCGAUUAAGAAUCCGCGGGGAUCGGGGAAUCCGCUGGAUUGAGAGUGCCGACAGCUUCAAUCGGGAGAGGUGUCUUCGAGCGGGACGAGCGGAACGGGCAGGAGGAGGAGAUCGAGGCGGCGGCUUCGAUCAAUCGCACCAGUUGCAGCGUGCAGAAAAUUGACCUAGCUCUAAUAUCACGUUAGGAAUAUGCAACUUGUAUUUUCAUGAGGCCAUAAACCGACAUAUAUACAUGUACAUGUCUGGGCUAUAUGCAGAAAACCCCUUAUACAAUGGGAUAAAUAUGAAUAGGUACGUGGCUAUAUUAUGUAUAUUCUAACAAUAGGGAGGUAAAGU
Molecule: long non-coding RNA, 688 nt
Filed under: Hordeum vulgare
Lineage: Eukaryota; Viridiplantae; Streptophyta; Magnoliopsida; Poales; Poaceae
Description: long non-coding RNA (HVUL_LNC010841)
Source: RNAcentral